GGGAGCUUGCUCCCAAAGAUUAGCGGCGGACGGGUGAGUAACACGUGGGCAACCUGCCUGUAAGACUGGGAUAACUUCGGGAAACCGGAGCUAAUACCGGAUAACAUAUGAGACCACAUGGUCUUGUAUUAAAAGAUGGCUUUUAGCUAUCACUUACAGAUGGGCCCGCGGCGCAUUAGCUAGUUGGUGAGGUAACGGCUCACCAAGGCGACGAUGCGUAGCCGACCUGAGAGGGUGAUCGGCCACACUGGGACUGAGACACGGCCCAGACUCCUACGGGAGGCAGCAGUAGGGAAUCUUCCGCAAUGGACGAAAGUCUGACGGAGCAACGCCGCGUGAGCGAAGAAGGUCUUCGGAUCGUAAAGCUCUGUUGUUAGGGAAGAACAAGUAUCGUUCGAAUAGGGCGGUACCUUGACGGUACCUAACCAGAAAGCCACGGCUAACUACGUGCCAGCAGCCGCGGUAAUACGUAGGUGGCAAGCGUUAUCCGGAAUUAUUGGGCGUAAAGCGCGCGCAGGCGGUCCUUUAAGUCUGAUGUGAAAGCCCACGGCUCAACCGUGGAGGGUCAUUGGAAACUGGGGCACUUGAGUGCAGAAGAGGAGAGCGGAAUUCCACGUGUAGCGGUGAAAUGCGUAGAGAUGUGGAGGAACACCAGUGGCGAAGGCGGCUCUCUGGUCUGUAACUGACGCUGAGGCGCGAAAGCGUGGGGAGCGAACAGGAUUAGAUACCCUGGUAGUCCACGCCGUAAACGAUGAGUGCUAAGUGUUAGAGGGUUUCCGCCCUUUAGUGCUGCAGCAAACGCAUUAAGCACUCCGCCUGGGGAGUACGGUCGCAAGACUGAAACUCAAAGGAAUUGACGGGGGCCCGCACAAGCGGUGGAGCAUGUGGUUUAAUUCGAAGCAACGCGAAGAACCUUACCAGGUCUUGACAUCCUCUGACACUCCUAGAGAUAGGACUUUCCCC
This 963-nucleotide ribosomal RNA is filed under the name Bacillus sp. (in: firmicutes). Its description in RNAcentral is "bacterial SSU rRNA". It matches the Rfam family "Bacterial small subunit ribosomal RNA", at positions 74 to 1019 of the family's 1533-position model. Lineage: Bacteria; Bacillati; Bacillota; Bacilli; Caryophanales; Bacillaceae. The record is from RNAcentral.